GCUGGUGAUUGUUGCGCGGUGGGACCACCCGUUCCCAUCCCGAACACGGAAGUGAAACGCCGCAGCGCUGACGAUACUGGGGGGGGCAACCCCCUGCGGAAAAUAGGCCAUUGCCAGCU
Molecule: ribosomal RNA, 119 nt
Filed under: Chloroflexota bacterium
Lineage: Bacteria; Bacillati; Chloroflexota
Source: RNAcentral